Molecule: ribosomal RNA, 397 nt
Filed under: uncultured bacterium
Lineage: Bacteria
Description: bacterial SSU rRNA
Rfam family: Bacterial small subunit ribosomal RNA
Source: RNAcentral
AUUGAACGCUGGCGGCAGGCCUAACGCAUGCAAGUCGAGCGGUAGAGAGGUGCUUGCAUCUCUUGAGAGCGGCGGACGGGUGAGUAAUGCCUAGGAAUCUGCCUAGUGGUGGGGGAUAACGUUCGGGAACGGACGCUAAUACCGCAUACGUCCUACGGGAGAAAGCGGGGGAUCUUCGGACCUCGCGCCAUUAGAUGAGCCUAGGUCGGAUUAGCUAGUUGGUGAGGUAAUGGCUCACCAAGGCGACGAUCCGUAACUGGUCUGAGAGGAUGAUCAGUCACACUGGAACUGAGACACGGUCCAGACUCCUACGGGAGGCAGCAGUGGGGAAUAUUAGGACAAAUGGGCGAAGCCUGAUCCAGCCACGCCGCGUGUGUGAAGAAGGUCUUCGGAUUGU